GACGAACGCUGGCGGCGUGCUUAACACAUGCAAGUCGAACGGAAAGGCCCUGCUUGCAGGGUACUCGAGUGGCGAACGGGUGAGUAACACGUGGGUGAUCUGCCCUGCACUUCGGGAUAAGCCUGGGAAACUGGGUCUAAUACCGGAUAGGAGCCAUUUUUAGUGUGAUGGUUGGAAAGUUUUUUCGGUGUAGGAUGAGCUCGCGGCCUAUCAGCUUGUUGGUGGGGUAAUGGCCUACCAAGGCGGCGACGGGUAGCCGGCCUGAGAGGGUGGACGGCCACAUUGGGACUGAGAUACGGCCCAGACUCCUACGGGAGGCAGCAGUGAGGAAUAUUGCACAAUGGGCGCAAGCCUGAUGCAGCGACGCCGCGUGGGGGAUGACGGCCUUCGGGUUGUAAACUCCUUUCGCUAGGGACGAAGCUUUUUGUGACGGUACCUAGAUAAGAAGCACCGGCUAACUACGUG
RNAcentral lists this ribosomal RNA (465 nucleotides) under uncultured bacterium. RNAcentral's name for it is "partial 16S ribosomal RNA". It matches the Rfam family "Bacterial small subunit ribosomal RNA", at positions 28 to 507 of the family's 1533-position model. The record is from RNAcentral.